Peromyscus maniculatus bairdii (prairie deer mouse) is the source of this 655-nucleotide non-coding RNA. The record is from RefSeq and is a predicted model, not a curated record. Lineage: Eukaryota; Metazoa; Chordata; Mammalia; Rodentia; Cricetidae.
CCGGCGGGGGCGGCGACCUCGCCCGGACGCGCCCCUCGCUCCUGGGCCGCGGCUCACCCAGGCGCAGGCUGCACAGCGCCCCCCGAGACCAGGACAACCAAGGGCAGAGAGGUCUUUCUUCUGGCCAAAAAGUGAUACAGCUGCGGAGAAACCACCAAUUCUUCGAGGGCAGCUGUUGACUGAUUGACCUCCUCUUGCGUGCAGGCUGGACUUCCAACUGAAUUCUAACAAAUGGGAUGCAGCAGAUGUGAUGUGACCAGCCCAGCUCAUAAAGGAGAUGCAUCCUUUUACGUUCCCCCUACCUGCCCUGCCCCACCCCAGCCAGGUAUCCCAGGCUGAGAGUGCCAGCCAGUGUCUGCUGCUCCAGACAUGUGAAGGGGUGAGCCUUAACGAUGACUCUAGCCUCAGUCACCGUAGACCACAUGGGGUAAGACCUAGAGAGAAAGCUCGGCCAAGUUGUCAGUCCCCAGAAACCCGAACGAUGGCUCAGUGGGCAGAGCACUCGGGCAAGCCUGGCAACCUAAGCUUGAUCCUUGGAACUGUACAGAGUGAAGAAGAGACCUGAUGCCACAAAGCUGUCCCCAGCCCCCCAGCCUCCACAAGUGUGUCCCAGCAACAACAAUAAUAAUGAAUAAAUGGCUUUUUAUUAAACUAG